UGGCGGACGGGUGAGUAAUGUCUGGGAAACUGCCCGAUGGAGGGGGAUAACUACUGGAAACGGUAGCUAAUACCGCAUAAUGUCGCAAGACCAAAGAGGGGGACCUUCGGGCCUCUUGCCAUCGGAUGUGCCCAGAUGGGAUUAGCUAGUAGGUGGGGUAACGGCUCACCUAGGCGACGAUCCCUAGCUGGUCUGAGAGGAUGACCAGCCACACUGGAACUGAGACGCGGUCCAG
RNAcentral lists this ribosomal RNA (235 nucleotides) under uncultured bacterium. RNAcentral describes it as "partial 16S ribosomal RNA". It matches the Rfam family "Bacterial small subunit ribosomal RNA", at positions 96 to 334 of the family's 1533-position model. The record is from RNAcentral.